RNAcentral lists this ribosomal RNA (446 nucleotides) under uncultured bacterium. RNAcentral describes it as "partial 16S ribosomal RNA". It matches the Rfam family "Bacterial small subunit ribosomal RNA", at positions 338 to 795 of the family's 1533-position model. The record is from RNAcentral.
CCUACGGGAGGCUGCAGUCGAGAAUCAUUCACAAUGGGGGAAACCCUGAUGGUGCGACGCCGCGUGGGGGAAUGAAGGUCUUCGGAUUGUAAACCCCUGUCAUGUGGGAGCAAAUUAAAAAGAUAGUACCACAAGAGGAAGAGACGGCUAACUCUGUGCCAGCAGCCGCGGUAAUACAGAGGUCUCAAGCGUUGUUCGGAAUCACUGGGCGUAAGGCGUGCGUAGGCUGUUUCGUAAGUAGGUUGUGAAAGGCGCGGGCUCAACCCGCGGACGGCACAUGAUACUGCGAGACUAGAGUAAUGGAGGGGGAACCGGAAUUCUCGGUGUAGCAGUGAAAUGCGUAGAUAUCGAGAGGAACACUCGUGGCGAAGGCGGGUUCCUGGACAUUAACUGACGCUGAGGCACGAAGGCCAGGGGAGCGAAAGGGAUUAGAUACCCGAGUAGUC